RNAcentral lists this ribosomal RNA (494 nucleotides) under uncultured bacterium. Its description in RNAcentral is "partial 16S ribosomal RNA". It matches the Rfam family "Bacterial small subunit ribosomal RNA", at positions 28 to 507 of the family's 1533-position model. The record is from RNAcentral.
GACGAACGCUGGCGGCGCGCUUAACACAUGCAAGUCGAACGGAAAGGCCUGCUUUCCCUUGUGGAUUGCGGGUACUCGAGUGGCGAACGGGUGAGUAACACGUGAGUGAUCUGCCCCCAACUUGGGUAUAAGCCUGGGAAACUGGGUCUAAUUCCCGAUAGGACUGCAGGGUGGUGCCUGUGGUGGAAAACGAUUUUCUAGUGGUUGGGGAUGAGCUCGCGGCCUAUCAGCUUGUUGGUGGGGUAAUGGCCUACCAAGGCGGCGACGGGUAGCCGGCCUGAGAGGGUGGACGGCCACAUUGGGACUGAGAUACGGCCCAGACUCCUACGGGAGGCAGCAGUGGGGAAUAUUGCACAAUGGGCGGAAGCCUGAGGCAGCGACGCCGCGUGGGGGAUGACGGCCUUCGGGUGGUAAACUCCUUUCGACCGCGAGGAAGCCACCUGGUUGGAAGGGUGGUGACGGCAGUGGUAGAAGAAGCACCGGCUAACUACGUG